This 764-nucleotide ribosomal RNA is filed under the name uncultured bacterium. Its description in RNAcentral is "bacterial SSU rRNA". It matches the Rfam family "Bacterial small subunit ribosomal RNA", at positions 59 to 823 of the family's 1533-position model. The record is from RNAcentral.
CAGUCGAACGAAGCUUGAUUACGGAUUCUUCGGAUGAAGUAUGAUAUGACUGACUGUCGGACGGGUGAGUAACGCGUGAGUAACCUGCCCUUCAGAGGGGGAUAGCGUUUGGAAACGAACGGUAAUACCGCAUAAUGUAUUUUGACCGCAUGAUCGAAAUACCAAAGAUUUAUCGCUGAAGGAUGGACUCGCGUCUGAUUAGGUAGUUGGUGGGGUAACGGCCUACCAAGCCGACGAUCAGUAGCCGGACUGAGAGGUUGAUCGGCCACAUUGGGACUGAGACACGGCCCAGACUCCUACGGGAGGCAGCAGUGGGGAAUAUUGCACAAUGGGCGCAAGCCUGAUGCAGCAACGCCGCGUGAAGGAAGACGGUUUUCGGAUUGUAAACUUCUGUUCUUAGUGAAGAAUAAUGACGGUAGCUAAGGAGCAAGCCACGGCUAACUACGUGCCAGCAGCCGCGGUAAUACGUAGGUGGCAAGCGUUGUCCGGAAUUACUGGGUGUAAAGGGAGCGCAGGCGGGUGAUCAAGUCAGCUGUGAAAACUACGGGCUUAACCCGUAGACUGCAGUUGAAACUGUUCAUCUUGAGUGAAGUAGAGGUUGGCGGAAUUCCGAGUGUAGCGGUGAAAUGCGUAGAUAUUCGGAGGAACACCGGUGGCGAAGGCGGCCAACUGGGCUUUAACUGACGCUGAGGCUCGAAAGUGUGGGGAGCAAACAGGAUUAGAUACCCUGGUAGUCCACACUGUAAACGAUGAUUGCUAGGUGU